This is a long non-coding RNA of Mirounga angustirostris (Northern elephant seal), 9472 nucleotides long. RefSeq lists it as uncharacterized. The transcript is spliced from 4 exons. The record is from RefSeq and is a predicted model, not a curated record. Lineage: Eukaryota; Metazoa; Chordata; Mammalia; Carnivora; Phocidae.
AAGGCCCGCGGGAAGAAGCCGCGCGAGGCCGGGCGCGCGGUAGGGGCUAGCGAUGCGCACGCGCAGGGGCUUUCCCGCGCUUGCGCGGGGUGGGCCGAUGUCGCGCUACGCCCCGGAACGGCUGGAACGGCGCAGACUACCGUUAGCCACGGCCGCGGCGUCGUCCCGGCCUCGCGUCGUAGGCGGAGGGCCUGGCAGGCCGCGUUCUCCGCUGGACCAGGACUCUGGGGAGUUCCUCCCCGCGGGGCUGCGGUGAGAAGACUACGAGGUGAGGUGCGUCCGGAGAGGCUCCCGGGCCGCGACGCCGGGAAGUAGAACCGGGAGGCGACGGGCGUGGAGGGGAUGGAACUGGGCUAUUGAGGUUCCCAAGAUCCUCCCGCUCAGUUUCUUUCAGUCGACCCAACGCUUUGGUAAGGAAGACUUUGGGGCGGGGGACCUCUCCACCCCUGUCGGCCUCACCCUGCGCCCCCCUUGGGACUCGCUGGGCUUCGGUGCAGUCAUUCGAGCGGCGUGGAAUGAGCGCCCACGACCUGCGGGUGCCCGGCCUUCUAGACUGCGCGCCCAGAGCGCACGGCGCGCCUUCCUCAGAGAUGCAGUCACGUUGCUUCUCAAAUGACGAAGCGAACGUGUGCUCGUGGUGGGGAAAGAGAACGAUGGCAAGCCGCAGUAAAUGUUAGCGUAGACUGGACAUCCCCGUAAUCCGACCUUCCUGAGAUUGCCAUUGUUAACACUUGGUUGGCUAUACCUCCCUACUUUUUCUACGCAAAUAAAUGUCCAUAUAUUUCAGAUACAUUUUUUCUUCUUCUUUUGGCUCCAAACUUACUCAUUUGACGCUUAUGGAUUGCCUCCUGUAUGCAAGAUAAUGCCUUAGGCCAGGAAUUGACACACUUAUUCUAUAAAGGGCCAGGUAGCAAAUAUUUAGGCCAUGUGGGCCAAGAGGCAAAAUUGAGUAUAUCAUGUAGGUACUUACAUAGCGGAAGAGAAAAAUACCCUUAAUAUUUUUUAUUGGUGGCAUUCAAAAUCUAAUAAGUAGUUUUUAAAAUACAGGUCUUCUAAGGAGAAGAACGGAAUGCUUUUUUGCCGUUCUAAGUUGGUCUUUCCUGUCAUUAAUUGAUUGCAAAUGUUCACUAGUAAAGACUUCUCGGUUCACAGAAAAGCAGGCGGGGUGUGGUUUGUGAUGGAGUUGGGCCUGAGCUCUGCUCUCCUGAGCCUGUAGUCUUGGGUGGGGGGUGGAGACCUGUAAAUCAGUAAACAAAUACGUCAUUACAACGGUGUUAAGGAAAACAGGUUUUUGAUAAGGGAGGAGGGUGGGGUCUGCCCCUGGGAAGUGAGGUUUGCAUUGAGAUCCUAAUCAGGAGCAAGCUACGUGAUACCCCAGGCAAAGGGAACAUGUGGGAUUGAUCUGUUUAGUAUAAAGCUCAGUAAUGUGGAUAGUGUGGGUAUUUUUCCAUGCCAGUAAAGAUCUAUAUCGGGGUUUUAAUUUGUGAUCUGCCUUGGGUGGAAUUCAGAGAUAGCACACUGUUGUACCUGUAUGUAUUUUCGUGAGUUAAAGAUACAUGGCAUUUUUCAGAUUCUUAAUAGGAUCUGUGAGCCAAAACGGGUUAAUGAAUCUGUGUGGUCAUUUUUAAUGACUGCAUAGGACAGUGUGGUGUGGAUGUACAGUAAUUCAUCGAAGCCAGACUCUGGAGUUUCUGGGGUUGGUUCCAUUUUUAGGCCGCUACUAAAAGAGUUUUAGUGUAGGAUGUGCACAUUGAAUACUGAUAAUACUCAACUGUCCCUUCAAAAGAUUGGAGACUCGUGACCACUUUAUAUAUUCAUGUCUUAAUGUUUAAAACACCAUUUAUCUGAGACAAAACACCAUUUAUCUGAGACUGAACAUUUAAGCAUCAUGUGGCCUCACCCAGACUCAUUUCAGUGGGCCAAAUUAGAAUCCACUGGUCCGAAGAAAGCAGUAGAGUUGCCAAAAGUAGAGGCUGCUGCACAGAUGGUCUCCAAGAACCCGGAAACACAACUCUUAAGGAAACAAGUAAAAUAUACUCUCCUGGAUGGGAUGAACUUGCUGAAGUUCAAGAGGCAAAACGGAAAGAAGUUAAAGCCAUAUGCAUUCCCGCUUUGAUCUGCAAACAUGCUGUGAGAAAUUUAUCCCAAAUCAGAAGUAUGGGCUGCACUGUGUAUGGCAAAGUUAUCCCAUAAAAUGAUGUUUAAAUGUGCAGCAAUAGGGGUUGGUUAAUUACAGUGUAUCCCUUUAGUAGAUUACUACAAUAUCAUGUACACAGACACACAAAGUCAAGAGAGAGUAUUUAAUAAGGGGAAAUGUUUUUGGCACAUUUUUUAAAGCAGAUUAUAAAAUAAUAUGCAUAUGCCAGUUGUGAAAAAAAUGUGUAUAUAUCUUCAGGGGCAACUGCUGUGUCCAGUCUUUCGUGUGUCUUUUCAGAAAUAAACUGUAUUCACAAGCACAUUUAUAUAGCAAUAUAUUUUGGAAAUUGUUCUCUCUAUACAUAGAGCUAAUUCUUUUUGAUGUCUGUAUAGAUAUGUCUUUUAGCUUUAACAAUUACUUUCAAAUUUGACAAAUAGACAAUAGACGUUGUUAUUAGAAAAAGUCGUGGGUGACAAGGAACUCCAGGCCCAUCCAGACCUGUGGUCUCAAUAAAGACAAAGCUUGGUGUGACUGUCACCUUGUUCCUACAGUAACAGAACCCCCUGUGGUCAACCAGCUGAAGGCACGGCGGAAGGAAUGAUGUGGGAACAGAGAAGGUCCUGUUCCAUCCUGGAGCAGCACCAUUUCUCGGGCCUGAUCACGUCGCCGAGCAAGCCUCUGGUCACACAGGAGUUGCCCUGGGGAGACAAACAGGAGUAUUCUCGUCCUUGGAGAGGACACUCCCAGGACUUUCCUAGCUUGUCACCGCAAAGACUCAGAAGCAAGGCCGACCCCACAGCAGUGAGCACACACGGCGCUCAGGCUGUGUCUCCGGACAGCACUCUCUAUUACAAGCAACCCGAGUUUCUGAAAGAGUGGAUGACUACAGGUCUGGAACAGGAGAGGCGCAAGAUAAGAAAGAACAUCCUGCUGGACCAAAAGCUACCGAAGGCUGACCUGUGCUGUCGAAAAGACAGGGAGCCAAUGGGAAGGACGCCAUUGACCUGGACAGGAUAAUUUGAAUAUGAAAAGAGUAAGAUAUGCAACUGACACAGGAGUCCACAAUGAUAUUGGAAAAAAAAAAAAUAGAAGGACCCUCCUUCACCCUUCCCCCUCCACAAACCAAACCCCCCCCCCCGACAACUCACUAGUUAACAUUUGCAGUAAGCUAGAACUUCUCUCUGAAAAUUGGUAAUUGAAAAAAAAAGAGAAGCACUGAACUUUCAUAUACUUCAAGGUAACAAAUGAGUCCUGAUCGAUGCUGGAAAGUUCUUUGCAGAAAACUUACAGUUGAUCAAUACAGAAAGGAAGCAAGAACAGAGCCAGUCUCCCCAACUGGAGCCUGGAGAUAAUGUGCACUAUGCCUACAGGUGGUGCUGAGGAUCGAAGACCGAGGUCAAGAACUCCAUCAGGCCUCACUGAGCCCUGAUAUACAUUUACUCCCCUCUCUGUAACUCAGGCUUGGAAAAACCACACGCACCUUCUCCUUAUCACUGUCACACUGCGUGUGAGUUUCUAGUGCGUUGUCUGGAGGCUGGCCCUGCAGGUGGUGGGAAGAUUCUCUUUCCUGUGCUCGGAGAGCCAAGGAUCCCUCCACAGUAACGGGAGUAUGGGCGGAGAGGACACCGAGAAAGGGAUCCAGCAACGCAAGCGCAGUGUGGACAAGUCGAAGUGAGACCUGAACCAGACUAUCAGGACAGGAGUCGCCCACGCUGGCAUUUCUCAGCAGCUGUCGACACCUGAGACCUAGCCUGCUGGAGGAGGAAAUGCAAAGGAAGCCGACUUCCUUGACUGCAUGAGAAAUGAGUCAUGACAAAGCUGAGUGUUAAAGGGCUGGCUGCGAGGGGCCCCAGAUGUCCCAAAGUCAACACAGGUGUAACUCCCCGACAAAGCAACCAAUCUGGAACUAAUCAAGACAAGGGUGUGUUCACCGCGCUGGCCAACUCACCAGGUCGCUGCUGACUAGGAAAGCUGAAAGGUCCACCAGGACCCACGUGGGGAUCAUAAAAAAGACAGCGUGGCAGCCCAAGAUGUUCAGGAGCCGGAGAUGGUGGAUCCGUGAAUCUCUCAAUACCUAAAGAAAGAAAAACCUUCUUAACGGCCAGUUGAAACUCUUAAGUGGCAAGAAGGGCUCCAGUUAUCCAGGUCCCAAACACAGUGACUGUACAUGAGCCCUGACAUCCGAUCUUGACCACCAAACCUACAAGUGCACCUGCAAUGAGACAAAAAUGCCCCAGACAAAUAAUGAAGGACUGAGAAAUGAAAAAACCCAGCAACACUCAGUCCUGGUGAAGCUGCAGUGAAACAGGCACUCUGAAAUCCCGCUGGUUUACGUCUACAUUGGCAUACAGCUGUUCGAGAAUACAACCAGGCCAAGUGUAUCAGGAGCCACAUUUCCCAGAUGGUGCCCAAAUACCUUUUUGGAGAAAAUAUUCUGAAGCGAGAAGCACAGUGUGGCAGCGAGGGCACUGAUGAGCCCCCACAUGUCGAAGGACAGCUCGGUGACGGUGGCCAGCAGGACGCCGCUGAUGAUGGGGAUGAGUGACAGCUCACCCUCCUCCUACAAAGGACACUUGAAAGCACUGCAGAAAUUUUAGGAGGGGUUGGCGAGGCUUCUCAUCCAACCCUGGAGGAAAAAGCAAGGGCUCUGGACUGGAGAGGGGGGGCUCAAUUCUAGCUCCCCCACCACUGGCUGUGGGCCUCAGGCACUUGACUUACCCCUUAUGUCCCAUUUCUUCGGCUGAGAUCAAGAAUGACAAUUACCUACCUGCCUUAUCUGUCUCAUAGGGUGGGUCCAUACAUAUUCUGCCUUUAUCAUUAGUCUUUGCCUAGGCCAUUCCUCAGUCCCUCCUCACUAAGGUGCCAGCUCCUUGCCCAAGCGGGGUACAAUGUCCUAUACAACGGGGAAACCUGAUAAACAUGAUGUGAUAUCGAGUGAUGAAGCUGCACACCUCCGGGGCAACUCCGACCCAGGGAGACAAGUCGCACCUGACAUCGCCCUGAGGGUGGGCUACAGAGCACACCCAGGUCUUGCAGAGAAAAAGACAGACUGAAACAAAAAAUCAGCCAGAGGUGGCCCAAUUUCCAUAAGCCGAUCCAGGGCAACGCCACUCUGGGUUACAUAAAAUACAGGAUGCCAGAAACUAAGCACGUAAAAAAGAAGUGCUCUGUCCAGCAUGAAAUGGAUUCCAGCUGGGACAACAGCAGUCCCACUUCCACUUAAGGACACGGAGCAAGGCUGUCUCUGGCUGAAGCCACAGCUUCUCUCGCCCCAAGCCAGGAAAUACCCUGGCUUGGCAUCUUGAACAGACUCUGGAUUGUGCCCAAAGCAUCUUCCUUAUGCAGUCCUAGGCUCUGAGCGUUGCUUUUACUUCCAUUCCCAGACACAAUUCCUGGUGGUUUUUAUUUCGAAGACUUUGCUGGAUUUUGCCAAAAUCAGACUGUUUUGACUGGCAAUCUCACUUCUGACCCCAAAAGUCCCCAACCUGACCGCUGUCACUUGCAAAGAAGUGAAACUUUGUCAGAGUUCCAGCAAGGCGUCAGAUGUUCUAUCCCUAGUCCCCCUGGAGGGGCACGUGGUGCCUGGUCAUGAUGGGACCAAGUCAUUGCCUAUCAGCAACCACACUCAGGGAAUCAAAACAUGAAGGCAAGUUGGACCUGAGAGGGACAGGAGCGUACCUGAGACCACAGACCAGAAGCAACUCAGGGACACACACCAGUGCCUCCAAAGCGAUUACAGAACAUUAGCAAUAAAAGGCCACCAGAAGCCUCUAAGCUGACUUCCUGAUUUGAGAGGAAGCCAGGAGCCUGGACCACGUCACCAGCUGGGCACCAGCCAGGAAGCCCUUGGGGCCCCCACCUGCCCAGAACCCUCCUGGGUUACCUUGGUGCUCUGCUUCUCCUUCAUGAUGAUCCGGGACAGGAGAACCACCCAGAUGGGCAUGGUGGCCUUGACUGUAAAGAGAGGCAAGGGGCUCUCAGGGAGCCGCCCCAGUCCCCGAACCCACCCUGGGACCCUGUCCCAACUCCACUAGUGCGAUGGGAGGGCUUGGCAGCCCUUCCAUCCUCCUCAGCCCUUCUGCGGGGCUUCCCCCCAACCCAACAGUUGUGAUUCGCCCUGCUCAGCUCCCAGCCCUCUUUUUCAGCCACUUCCCUCCCCAAAACCCUUGUGCGAGUCCCCGCCCCCCCCCCCCCGCCCGCUAAAAGCCUUGUUGGCCCCCAGCGCCUUCCUGACAGAAGUUGACUUCUCAGGCCGUCGGGCCGCAACCCGGCCAGCGUACUCCUAUCCAAGCGCCGAAACCCCGGGUGGCGCGUCCGGGCCGCCGCCCCCCAGGCCGGCCGCGACACCCACCGGUGUGCGCGUAGGACACUGGCACCUUCCAGAUGCUGACGUGCGCUGACACGGACGCGAAGUACUUGCCGAACGCGAGUGGCAGCACGUAGCGCGGGUAGAAGCGCGGCGGCAGCAGCGGGCCGGGAGACGGAUGCGGCCCGAGCCCAGGGCCCGAGACUGGGGGCGCGGGGGGCACGCGCCAGGCGCGCAGCAGCGGCGGGAGCCCCGCGCACAGCGCCAGGAUGUGGCACAGAGACACGGUCACGGGGAACGGGAAGGCGCUCAGGAUCACCUUGUUGACCACGUUACCACCCGCGCUCAGCGCGUACCACAGCAGGCACAGCGCUGCCACCCGCGCGCCCUCGCGCGCCCCGCCGCCGCCGCCCGCCGCUCCCGGGCCCCCCGCGCCCGCACCCACCGCCGCCGCCGCCGCCAUCCUGCCCGAGCGGCCACCUCUUCCCGCCCGUCCGACGGCCCGACGCCGGGCGGGGGCGGGGCCGAGUAGGGGCGGGCACGCCGGCCAACGCCGCUCCCCAUUGGUCGCUGCUGCCUCGCGUCACCGCCUCGCGCCGGCGGACGCGCCCGCCACCACGUAGCGGGCGCAGGCCCCGCCCCUCUGGUGGAUUUCCGGCCGGGGCGGUGCCUAUCGCGGAAGCGGAAGGUGGAGAAGCGGAGACUUGCCUAGCGGGGUUUCCCCGGCGGAGGGUUGGCCUGCAGGACCCUGGAGCCGCGGCUCGAGCUGAGUGGCCAGAAGUGCAAAGGCCCUGUCUCGUCGGCGUCUGUGAGCGGGCCAUCGAGCUCGGGAGUCAGACCUCGAUUCCCACGCUACAUCGGCGUCCUCCAACCAUACUCCCGAUGGGCGGGCGACGGCGGACACCAAGGAUAAAAGACCAGACCUUUUCGGAAAAGAAACCAAAUUGUGAAAAGCUUUCCAUAGGCUAAGUUUUUUCUGCAAAAACACGGGAGGGACUUCCAUGGCCGGACUCCAACAGAAGGGCUAGCCCGGAGCGCCCGGUCUCUGGGGGCUUGUUCUGGGAACCACUGCGACGUGUACUGUGCGGUAGGUGUAUGACCAUCUCCAUUUCACAGACGGACAGACCGAAGCCCAGAGAAGGGAGGCGACUUGGCUCGGGUCCCCUGGCCAAUUCGGGAGCCGUGGCCAUGGUAGCCUACUCCCGCACCUGUCUCCAGGGCUCUUGCAGGCGGGAGAGGUUGCCGGGCCCUGACUGCUGAUGCCCAAGGCCAGGAUAGAGCAGCCCCAGACCCCAGCGGAGGAAGACAAGAUGGUGUUUUCAGCGAGAUGGUUUUAUACUAAAGGACUUUGAUUUGUUCCAAAAAUCAUGUACGGACAACUUUUGGGGGGAAGGGGUGGGGGUUAAGAUGCCCUUUUACAAUGUCUUUACUUGGCAAAUUAGAAAGUGGCAACCCACUGAUUUCAAAAAUGUGGGAGGGAAAUCUUAAGUUUGUGUUCUCAAAAGCAGGCAGUAUCUUUAUGCUGGGGCUUACUGGAUACUUAGACGCAGAAGUGGUCCUUCAGGUGGGGGCAGGGAGCAGGGACCUGUCCUAAAGUCCGGGUCUGAGAAAAGGAGAUGCUCAUAAGAUGCCAACCUGUAUCCUAGUAUAUUCCAGCUGUGCUUACGACCCUUUGUCACAGAGUAAGUCACUUCCUGGGGACACCCACACAGCAGCAGGGCUGGCCCACAUUACAGGCACAGUGGAUUUAGGAAAGUAAUUAGUUAUUCCAUAGCACAAAGGGUUCUACUGACAUGCUCCCCCCCCUUUUUUUUUUGGCUUAAACUCUGUUUAACUUAUCCUCACAGCUCUGGAAUAAGCACUUUCAUCUCCCAGAUAGAGACAUGUGUAUGAGUGAAGUGAUUAUCUUAGAGCCAUACAGCUCAUAGAUGGCAGGUCCAGAGUCCAACCUCAGCCUGUCCUCAAAGCCACUUCAUCCACUGCCCUUAUCUUAGGGUGGGUGUGUCUUGCACUAACACCAUGUCAGAAAUCCCUGCUGCUUCUGAAAUUGUGGUUCUGGGCUGACUCAAUGGUUCUGGACCCCCUGGUUCGCCCUAUGGGACGUUUAACCAACUGAGCCACCCAGGUAUCCUAGGACUGUCCCUCUUAAGGGGUAGCUGCUUCCUCAUCUGUGAAAUGAAGUAGGUACAUCCAACAUGACCUAUUCUGGACUGAAAAAUUUUGAAAACCAUAGUCUUAGCUGACGGUUUCAGGGGUGAGGGAGAAGGAAGUAUUAUCACUUUUAUAGUCAAGGCAGAAAGUUAUUUUUUAAAAACAGCACCUAUCAGAUACUGAGACAGCCCCAGGCCUGCAUGGGGAGCUAGCAGCCUGGGGCCAGAGCCAAGGGAUGCAGUGCCAGGCGUGGCUCUGGGCCAUGCCCUGUAGAAGCUAGAUACUUUGUGGGGUAAAACCAGGUUACCAAGACUUGGGACAUGGAACCCCUUUGGAGGGCUUCUUUCUCUGGGGCAGAUGGGGUAACGUUCCUUCAUGUGGACCUUCAGUCUCUGUCACCCAAAGCUAGUAGGUGACCCCGGCGGCGGAAGAGGCAACAUGGCCCUGAAUGAGUGAAAGGCAGGUGGAGGUCAGUUUUCAUGCAGAACACUAAUAGGCUGGCUUGGCCACUUUGCCCUGCCCACCUCCCUGCAGUCCAGCAAUGGAGCCCAAACCUCAGACACGAAAGGCUGAUUAUGACUGUAAGGGACCAAAUUAGUAACGAUUCUGAGACUGGUUUGUGCAAAUGGUUUUUUUUUUUUUUAUUUCCACAUUUAUAUCACAAGGUGUCCACUUACUGGACCAAAUAGCAAAGUUGCUCCCUUCUGCGUCUUGAGAACACAGAAGUCUAGGUACUGUACAUUCACUAAGGCUCCUUGUUUUUGCAGAUCGCGUUUAUGACAAAUAACCAUAAGGCAAACGAAUCUAAAGGAAUGGUUAUGAGUGUUUCCAGCGUACAGACAGGUCUCCUCUUGCCCAACAAUACAGCUUACACACCA